AUUGAACGCUGGCGGCAGGCCUACCACAUGCAAGUCGAACGAGUGGCGGACGGGUGAGUAAUGUCUGGGAAACUGCCUGAUGGAGGGGGAUAACUACUGGAAACGGUAGCUAAUACCGCAUACCAUCAGAUGUGCCCAGCUGGGAGUAGCUAGUUGGGGGGGUAACGGCGCACCAAGGCGACGACCCCUCUCUGGUCUGAGAGGAUGACCAGCAACACUGGAACUGAGACACGGUCCAGACUCCUACGGGAGGCAGCAGUGGGGAAUAUUGCACAAGGGGCGAAAGCCUGAUGCAGCCAUGCCGCGUGUAUGAAGAAGGCCUUCGGGUUGUAAAGUACUUUCAGCGGGGAGGCGUUACCCGCAGAAGAAGCACCGGCUAACUCCGUGCCAGCAGCCGCGGUAAUUC
RNAcentral lists this ribosomal RNA (406 nucleotides) under uncultured bacterium. Its description in RNAcentral is "partial 16S ribosomal RNA". It matches the Rfam family "Bacterial small subunit ribosomal RNA", at positions 30 to 526 of the family's 1533-position model. The record is from RNAcentral.